ACGGGGCCGCACAAGCGGUGGAUGAUGUGGAUUAAUUCGAUGCAACGCGAAAACCUUACCUACCCUUGACAUGUCCGGAAUCCCGAAGAGAUUUGGGAGUGCUCGCAAGAGAACCGGAACACAGGUGCUGCAUGGCUGUCGUCAGCUCGUGUCGUGAGAUGUUGGGUUAAGUCCCGCAACGAGCGCAACCCUUGCCAUUAGUUGCUACGAAAGGGCACUCUAAUGGGACUGCCGGUGACAAACCGGAGGAAGGUGGGGAUGACGUCAAGUCCUCAUGGCCCUUAUAGGUGGGGCUACACACGUCAUACAAUGGCCGGUACAGAGGGUAGCCAACCCGCGAGGGGGAGCCAAUCCCACAAAGCCGGUCGUAGUCCGGAUCGCAGUCUGCAACUCGACUGCGUGAAGUCGGAAUCGCUAGUAAUCGCGGAUCAGCAUGUCGCGGUGAAUACGUUCCCGGGCCUU
This 462-nucleotide ribosomal RNA is filed under the name uncultured Bordetella sp. RNAcentral's name for it is "bacterial SSU rRNA". It matches the Rfam family "Bacterial small subunit ribosomal RNA", at positions 917 to 1381 of the family's 1533-position model. The record is from RNAcentral. Lineage: Bacteria; Pseudomonadati; Pseudomonadota; Betaproteobacteria; Burkholderiales; Alcaligenaceae.